GACGAACGCUGGCGGCGUGCUUAACACAUGCAAGUCGAACGGAAGAGCCCUGCUUUUGUGGGGUGCUCGCGUGGCGAACGGGUGAGUAACCCGUGAGUAUCCUGCCCUUGACUUUGUGAUAACUUCAGGAAACUGGGGCUACUACCGGAUAGGAGCUCCUGCUGCAUGGUGGGGGUUGGACAGUUUCGGCGGUAGGGGAUGUACGCUCGGCUUAUCAGCUUGUUGGUGGGGUAGUGGCUUACCAAGGCAUUGACGGGUGGCCGGCAUGAGAGGGUAACCGGCGACAAGACGACUGCGAGAGGGCCCAGAGUCGUACGGGGGGCAGCAGUGGGGAAUAUGGCACAACGGGCGGAAGCCUGAUGAAGAGGCGCUGCGAUCGGGAUGACGGCUUUCGUGUUGGAAACCGCUUUCGCUUGAGACCAAGCGGGAGUGACGGUAAUGGGUAAAGAAGCACCGGCUAACUACGUG
This 468-nucleotide ribosomal RNA is filed under the name uncultured bacterium. RNAcentral describes it as "partial 16S ribosomal RNA". It matches the Rfam family "Bacterial small subunit ribosomal RNA", at positions 28 to 507 of the family's 1533-position model. The record is from RNAcentral.